UUCUUGUCAUUAGAGGAAUAAAGUUGUAACAAGGUUCCGAGCAGAGUCUCGAAGAACAGCAAGUUCCUUCUGCAGAGUACAUUGCCGAGCCUAGUUGCCAGAAAGGGGCAGCGGCGACUGUAAACAAGUAGGAUGUUAAUCGCGAGUCUCCCAGGAGGCAACACUAUCAAAUUGCGGAACAUCCUGUCGAGUCUUCACUACCGCGGCUCGCCGAAAGUCGAGUGCAGCACCAGGGUAAUGACCUCGGGGAAGGUAACAAUGCGAAGAAUAGGGACAAUCCGCAGCCAAGCCCUACUUUCUAUGAAUAUGGGUGCUGUUCACAGGCCAAAUGGUAGUGGGCACUUUAUGAGUGCUUAAGAUAUGGUCGAGUCCCCACACGAGAGUGUGGGUACAAGUACUCUUUGAGCUUAUAAUGCUUCCUCUUGGUCAUUUAGAGGAAGUAAAAGUCGUAACAAGGUUUCCGUAGGUGAACCUGCGGAAGGAUCAUUAUUGAUUGUGAAUCGUUGCCUUCAGUGCUGGCUCCGGCAAGUGCACGUUGGUGACUUUCAUCCAACACUCUUGUGAACCUUUGGCCUCUUGCUGGCCUCGGCUGGCAGAGGAUUUUUACACCCACUCGCAUGUAAUGAAAUUAUUGUCGUGCGCAAGCACUAAUGUACAACUUUCAACAACGGAUCUCUUGGCUCUCGCAUCGAUGAAGAACGCAGCGAAAUGCGAUAAGUAAUGUGAAUUGCAGAAUUCAGUGAAUCAUCGAAUCUUUGAACGCACCUUGCACCCUUUGGCAUUCCGAAGGGUAUGCUCGUUUGAGUGUCAUUGUACUCUCACACUUCUCAUCCUUUGGAUUUGGAGCGGUGGAUUUGGGUGUUGCUGCUUUCCGGUGGCUCACCUUGAAUGCAUUAGUGCAACUCUUGGUUGGACAUAGUACGGCGUGAUAAGUGUCUUCGCCGGCACCUCGCAAGAGGGUGGCUGAUCGAGAGCUCUGUGCUUUCAAACCGUCCUCGGACAAUGACUGACAACUUGACCUCAAAUCGAGUAGGACUACCCGCUGAACUUAAGCAUAUCAAUAAGCGGAGGAAUUUAAUACAACUUUCAACAACGGAUCUCUUGGCUCUCGCAUCGAUGAAGAACGCAGCGAAAUGCGAUAAGUAAUGUGAAUUGCAGAAUUCAGUGAAUCAUCGAAUCUUUGAACGCACCUUGCACCCUUUGGUAUUCCGAAGGGUACACCCGUUUGAGUGUCAUUGUAAUCUCACACCCUCAGACUUUUGUCAAAAGGGAAGUGGACUUGGACGCUGUCGUGUCACUACGACUCGUCUCAAAUGCAUGAGCGUACCCUGCGUCCGCAGCGUAUUCGUGUGAUAAGCAUCUUCACCGGAGUAGUGCCCUCGGGCUCGCGCUUGCAAAUGUUGGGCUCUGCGCUUCAAACCGUCUUUGGACACAACUGACAUUUGACCUCAAAUCGGUGGACUACCCGCUGAACUUAAGCUUAUCAAUAACCGGAGGAA
Molecule: ribosomal RNA, 1499 nt
Filed under: uncultured fungus
Lineage: Eukaryota; Fungi
Description: eukaryotic LSU rRNA
Rfam family: 5.8S ribosomal RNA (bases 1082-1235)
Source: RNAcentral